AAAUUGGGGUAUUAAUAAACCUUAAGUGUUUUGAAGUGAGUGGCAUGUAUAGAGACUUAGUACUUUAUGAUAUGUGUUUCAUGAUUUGGCCAAUUGAGUUGGCUUAUAAUGAUUCAUUUGUAUAGAGCCGUGAGAUAUGACUCAUAUUUGAUCAUUGGGUUAUAAACCUAAUUGAUUUUGCAUGACUGAUCUAAUGUCUUGAUGAUGUGCAUGUUGUGAUGUCUUGGUGUCAAUGAAUGUAUGAUAUGGUAUGCAUAUUUGAUGGAUGAAAUUUG
RNAcentral lists this long non-coding RNA (275 nucleotides) under Gossypium barbadense (sea-island cotton). RNAcentral's name for it is "long non-coding RNA (GBAR_LNC007361)". The record is from RNAcentral. Lineage: Eukaryota; Viridiplantae; Streptophyta; Magnoliopsida; Malvales; Malvaceae.